AUGGCCACCUGCCUCUCUGACCUUAUUAGUGACCAUUCCCUAGAUUUCCAGGGUCUGCAAGAGACCAUGAAAAAAGAUUUUCCCCCUAAGUGUUUGAGGAGAAUUGAUCCCUUUAACUUUUUCAAAUGGAACUGGGUUCCUUCUGAGGGCAAGUCUGGAAGUAUCCUGUGUGGAGUUAGGCAAAACACUUUGGAGGUGGUCACCUCUAACAAAGGCAAGUACAUCUUGCAAGUGGUGGUCUUUGACAAGAAGAAGAAAACUAAUUGGGGGUUGUUGGUAGUUUAUGGCUCUGCACAUGAAGAACAGAAGGAAGAUUUUUUGCUUGAGCUUGCUACUAUGUGUAAU
Molecule: ribosomal RNA, 345 nt
Filed under: Triticum aestivum (bread wheat)
Lineage: Eukaryota; Viridiplantae; Streptophyta; Magnoliopsida; Poales; Poaceae
Description: partial small subunit ribosomal RNA
Source: RNAcentral